Molecule: ribosomal RNA, 522 nt
Filed under: uncultured fungus
Lineage: Eukaryota; Fungi
Description: eukaryotic LSU rRNA
Rfam family: 5.8S ribosomal RNA (bases 156-309)
Source: RNAcentral
AUCAUUACCGAGUUUACAACUCCCAAACCCCUGUGAACAUACCUCAUGUUGCCUCGGCGGAUCAGCCCGCGCCCCGUAAAAAGGGACGGCCCGCCGCAGGAACCCUAAACUCUGUUUUUAGUGGAACUUCUGAGUAUAAAAAACAAAUAAAUCAAAACUUUCAACAACGGAUCUCUUGGUUCUGGCAUCGAUGAAGAACGCAGCAAAAUGCGAUAAGUAAUGUGAAUUGCAGAAUUCAGUGAAUCAUCGAAUCUUUGAACGCACAUUGCGCCCGCCAGUAUUCUGGCGGGCAUGCCUGUUCGAGCGUCAUUUCAACCCUCAAGCCCAGCUUGGUGUUGGGAGCUGCAGUCCUGCUGCACUCCCCAAAUACAUUGGCGGUCACGUCGAGCUUCCAUAGCGUAGUAAUUUACAUAUCGUUACUGGUAAUCGUCGCGGCCACGCCGUUAAACCCCAACUUCUGAAUGUUGACCUCGGAUCAGGUAGGAAUACCCGCUGAACUUAAGCAUAUCAAUAAGCGGAGGA